CAAGACCUCAUGCUCGUGGAGCGGCCGAUAUCUGAUUAGCUAGUUGGUAGGGUAAAAGCCUACCAAGGCAUCGAUCAGUAGCUGGUCUGAGAGGACGACCAGCCACACUGGAACUGAGACACGGUCCAGACUCCUACGGGAGGCAGCAGUGGGGAAUUUUGGACAAUGGGCGAAAGCCUGAUCCAGCAAUGCCGCGUGAGUGAAGAAGGCCUUCGGGUUGUAAAGCUCUUUUGUCAGGGAAGAAACGGUGAGAGCUAAUAUCUUUUGCUAAUGACGGUACCUGAAGAAUAAGCACCGGCUAACUACGUGCCAGCAGCCGCGGUAAUACGUAGGGUGCAAGCGUUAAUCGGAAUUACUGGGCGUAAAGCGUGCGCAGGCGGUUUUGUAAGUCUGAUGUGAAAUCCCCGGGCUCAACCUGGGAAUUGCAUUGGAGACUGCAAGGCUAGAAUCUGGCAGAGGGGGGUAGAAUUCCACGUGUAGCAGUGAAAUGCGUAGAUAUGUGGAGGAACACCGAUGGCGAAGGCAGCCCCCUGGGUCAAGAUUGACGCUCAUGCACGAAAGCGUGGGGAGCAAACAGGAUUAGAUACCCUGGUAGUCCACGCCCUAAACGAUGUCUACUAGUUGUCGGGUCUUAAUUGACUUGGUAACGCAGCUAACGCGUGAAGUAGACCGCCUGGGGAGUACGGUCGCAAGAUUAAAACUCAAAGGAAUUGACGGGGACCCGCACAAGCGGUGGAUGAUGUGGAUUAAUUCGAUGCAACGCGAAAAACCUUACCUACCCUUGACAUGGCUGGAAUCCUUGAGAGAUCAGGGAGUGCUCGAAAGAGAACCAGUACACAGGUGCUGCAUGGCUGUCGUCAGCUCGUGUCGUGAGAUGUUGGGUUAAGUCCCGCAACGAGCGCAACCCUUGUCAUUAGUUGCUACGAAAGGGCACUCUAAUGAGACUGCCGGUGACAAACCGGAGGAAGGUGGGGAUGACGUCAAGUCCUCAUGGCCCUUAUGGGUAGGGCUUCACACGUCAUACAAUGGUACAUACAGAGCGCCGCCAACCCGCGAGGGGGAGCUAAUCGCAGAAAGUGUAUCGUAGUCCGGAUUGUAGUCUGCAACUCGACUGCAUGAAGUUGGAAUCGCUAGUAAUCGCGGAUCAGCAUGUCGCGGUGAAUACGUUCCCGGGUCUUGUACACACCGCCCGUCACACCAUGGGAGCGGGUUUUACCAGAAGUAGGUAGCUUAACCGUAAGGAGGGCGCUUACCACGGUAGGAUUCGUGACUGGGGUGAAGUCGUAACAAGGUAGCCGUAUCGGAAGGUGCGGCUGGAUCACCU
This 1324-nucleotide ribosomal RNA is filed under the name Janthinobacterium sp. HC1-5. RNAcentral's name for it is "bacterial SSU rRNA". It matches the Rfam family "Bacterial small subunit ribosomal RNA", at positions 202 to 1528 of the family's 1533-position model. The record is from RNAcentral. Lineage: Bacteria; Pseudomonadati; Pseudomonadota; Betaproteobacteria; Burkholderiales; Oxalobacteraceae.